CGGCGGAGUUCCGGGAGGAGGCGCCGCUUCUGGAAGCCACGCGCGAGGGGACACGAGUUCAAGCCCUGGUCCGGGAAGAUCCCACAUGCAGCGGAGCAAGCCUGUGCGCAGCAACGAAGACCCAACGCAGCCAGAAGUAAAUAAAUAAAAAUUUGAAGAAAAGAAAAAGGCCAACAAUCAUAAAGAAAAAUGAGCUAGAGGUGCCCCAGGGAAAGUGUGGAGACACAGACUAUCUCCAGGCAGCAGUGGCUGCAGGAGGAAGAUGAUAAAGCAGCAGUCACUUCAUUCUGCUGGUUCAGGGCCGUGGACAUCAAGGAUGGCAGCUGGGCAGCUGUGCCAGCCAACUGCUCCCUGGCACCUCUGCAUCCAUCAGGGAGGCCAGGGCUUGGAGAGUGACCAACCACCAGCUGUCUGCAGGUUUGGCUCCAUCAAUGUCCUAUCCACCUACCAGAUGUUCAUGCCGUGGCUCUUAAAUCAGACCAGCUGGGUUAGAACCCUGGCUUCACCACUUACUGUGGCGGGUAGGAAGAGUUAUUUACCCUCUCUGUGCUUCAGUUCCUCUCCCAUAAUCUGGUGGUAAUAAUGUCCAUUUCAUAGGGUGGUUUGGGGGACAAAAUGAGAU
This is a long non-coding RNA of Eubalaena glacialis (North Atlantic right whale), 622 nucleotides long. RefSeq lists it as uncharacterized. NCBI's taxonomy places the organism in Eukaryota, Metazoa, Chordata, Mammalia, Artiodactyla, Balaenidae. The record is from RefSeq and is a predicted model, not a curated record. The transcript is spliced from 3 exons.